RNAcentral lists this transfer RNA (71 nucleotides) under Loxodonta africana (African savanna elephant). It matches the Rfam family "tRNA". Rfam says of the family: Transfer RNA (tRNA) molecules are approximately 80 nucleotides in length. Their secondary structure includes four short double-helical elements and three loops (D, anti-codon, and T loops). The record is from Rfam by way of RNAcentral. Lineage: Eukaryota; Metazoa; Chordata; Mammalia; Proboscidea; Elephantidae.
GCAUUGGUAGUUCAGUGGUAGAUUUCUCUGCUUCCUUGCAGGGGACAUGGGUUCAAUUCUCAGCCAAUGCA